GAAUGCUGACAUAAGUAACGAUAAAGCGGGUGAAAAGCCCGCUCGCCGGAAGACCAAGGGUUCCUGUCCAACGUUAAUCGGGGCAGGGUGAGUCGACCCCUAAGGCGAGGCCGAAAGGCGUAGUCGAUGGGAAACGGGUUAAUAUUCCCGUACUUGGUGUUACUGCGAAGGGGGGACGGAGAAGGCUAUGUUGGCCGGGCGACGGUUGUCCCGGUUUAAGCGUGUAGGUGUGUGUUCCAGGUAAAUCCGGUUCACUUUAACACUGAGGCGUGACGACGAGGCACUACGGUGCUGAAGCAACAAAUGCCCUGCUUCCAGGAAAAGCCUCUAAGCAUCAGGUAACAUCAAAUCGUACCCCAAACCGACACAGGUGGUCAGGUAGAGAAUACCAAGGCGCUUGAGAGAACUCGGGUGAAGGAACUAGGCAAAAUGGUGCCGUAACUUCGGGAGAAGGCACGCUGACACGUAGGUGAAGUGAUUUACUCAUGGAGCUGAAGUCAGUCGAAGAUACCAGCUGGCUGCAACUGUUUAUUAAAAACACAGCACUGUGCAAACACGAAAGUGGACGUAUACGGUGUGACGCCUGCCCGGUGCCGGAAGGUUAAUUGAUGGGGUCAGCGCAAGCGAAGCUCCUGAUCGAAGCCCCGGUAAACGGCGGCCGUAACUAUAACGGUCCUAAGGUAGCGAAAUUCCUUGUCGGGUAAGUUCCGACCUGCACGAAUGGCGUAAUGAUGGCCAGGCUGUCUCCACCCGAGACUCAGUGAAAUUGAACUCGCUGUGAAGAUGCAGUGUACCCGCGGCAAGACGGAAAGACCCCGUGAACCUUUACUAUAGCUUGACACUGAACAUUGAGCCUUGAUGUGUAGGAUAGGUGGGAGGCUUUGAAGUGUGGACGCCAGUCUGCAUGGAGCCGACCUUGAAAUACCACCCUUUAAUGUUUGAUGUUCUAACGUGGACCCGUUACCCGGGUUGCGGACAGUGUCUGGUGGGUAGUUUGACUGGGGCGGUCUCCUCCUAAAGAGUAACGGAGGAGCACGAAGGUUGGCUAAUCCUGGUCGGACAUCAGGAGGUUAGUGCAAUGGCAUAAGCCAGCUUGACUGCGAGCGUGACGGCGCGAGCAGGUGCGAAAGCAGGUCAUAGUGAUCCGGUGGUUCUGAAUGGAAGGGCCAUCGCUCAACGGAUAAAAGGUACUCCGGGGAUAACAGGCUGAUACCGCCCAAGAGUUCAUAUCGACGGCGGUGUUUGGCACCUCGAUGUCGGCUCAUCACAUCCUGGGGCUGAAGUAGGUCCCAAGGGUAUGGCUGUUCGCCAUUUAAAGUGGUACGCGAGCUGGGUUUAGAACGUCGUGA
RNAcentral lists this ribosomal RNA (1349 nucleotides) under Salmonella enterica. RNAcentral's name for it is "partial 23S ribosomal RNA". It matches the Rfam family "Bacterial large subunit ribosomal RNA", at positions 1292 to 2624 of the family's 2925-position model. Lineage: Bacteria; Pseudomonadati; Pseudomonadota; Gammaproteobacteria; Enterobacterales; Enterobacteriaceae. RNAcentral also lists the same sequence under 2 other names. The record is from RNAcentral.